CAUCUCAAGGGUUACAACACACCUAAUCCUAUUAGAACUUCUAAAUUAAGCGUGCUUGUGCUAGAGUAGUACUAGGAUGGGUGACCUCCUGAGAAGUCCUAGUACUUUACAUGU
Molecule: non-coding RNA, 114 nt
Organism: Picea glauca (white spruce)
Lineage: Eukaryota; Viridiplantae; Streptophyta; Pinopsida; Pinales; Pinaceae
Source: Rfam